This 293-nucleotide ribosomal RNA is filed under the name uncultured bacterium. Its description in RNAcentral is "partial 16S ribosomal RNA". It matches the Rfam family "Archaeal small subunit ribosomal RNA", at positions 455 to 747 of the family's 1478-position model. The record is from RNAcentral.
GUGCCAGCCGCCGCGGUAAUACCGGCAGCACGAGUGAUGGCCGCUAUUAUUGGGCCUAAAGCGUCCGUAGCCGGCCGGGCAAGUCCGUCGGGAAAUCCACCCGCUUAACGGGUGGGCGUCCAGCGGAAACUGUCCGGCUUGGGGCCGAACGACCCGAGGGGUACGUCCGGGGUAGGAGUGAAAUCCUGUAAUCCUGGACGGACCGCCGGUGGCGAAAGCGCCUCGGGAGGACGGACCCGACGGUGAGGGACGAAAGCCAGGGUCUCGAACCGGAUUAGAACCCCUGGUAGUCC